This 434-nucleotide ribosomal RNA is filed under the name Pieris oleracea angelika. RNAcentral's name for it is "partial 12S ribosomal RNA". Lineage: Eukaryota; Metazoa; Arthropoda; Insecta; Lepidoptera; Pieridae. The record is from RNAcentral.
AAAAAAUUAAAAUAAAUUACUAAAAUAGUAUAUAAUUAUUUAUUGAAACUUAAAUAAUUUGGCGGUAUUUUAGUUCAUUUAGAGGAAUCUGUCUAGUAAUUGAUAAUCCACGAAUAAUCAUAUUUAAUUUAUAAUUUUAUAUAUCGUUGUUAAAAAAAUAUUUUUAAAUAAAAAUAAUAUUUUAAAAUUUUAAUAAUAAAAUUAAUUCAGAUCAAGAUGUAGAUAAUAAUUAAAAUAUAAGAUGGAUUACAAUAUAAAUAUAUAAAUGGAUAUUAAUUUUGAAAAAGUUAGUUAAAAGUGGAUUUAAAUGUAAUUUUAAAUAAUUUUUUAAAAUGAUUAAUAAUUGAAAUAUGUACAUAUUGCCCGUCACUUUCAUUUAAAAAUUGAAAUAAGUCGUAACAAAGUAGGGGUACUGGAAAGUGUUCCUAGAAAGA